RNAcentral lists this long non-coding RNA (358 nucleotides) under Panax ginseng (ginseng). RNAcentral's name for it is "long non-coding RNA (PGIN_LNC009555)". Lineage: Eukaryota; Viridiplantae; Streptophyta; Magnoliopsida; Apiales; Araliaceae. The record is from RNAcentral.
GGGCUUUCCAAUAAGAAUUUCUCCUUACUGACGCGCAAUUAGGUGACCAAACCUCUCCUUAGACAGAACUUUCUAGACAUUGCCAAAGACAAAGCCUGCAGAAAGACAAAGGUAGGAGAAAUGGUGGUCACAAAUGUUCUUAACAUGAAUGCAGGAAAUGGUGAAUCUAGCUAUGCCAAUAACUCAUUCCUUCAGGUCUCUCCCUUUCUCUGUCUCUCUCACACACAGACACACAAAAACUUAACACACAAAGAGACUUGCCAAAGCUUGUCUGAUAUAUAUAUAUAUAUAUAGAGCAAAGAUCAAGAGCUUACCCCUUAUCUAACUCACCCGAACUCACCCCUCUUUAGCGACGGAC